Molecule: ribosomal RNA, 115 nt
Filed under: Acinetobacter baumannii
Lineage: Bacteria; Pseudomonadati; Pseudomonadota; Gammaproteobacteria; Moraxellales; Moraxellaceae
Also listed under: 1 other name
Source: RNAcentral
GCUGGCGACCAUAGCAAGAGUGAACCACCUGAUCCCUUCCCGAACUCAGAAGUGAAACCUCUUAGCGCUAAUGGUAGUGUGGGAUUACCCAUGUGAGAGUAAGUCAUCGCCAGCU